AUACUGAUGAAGAGUCCCAAAAACCAGGACGAAACAGCUGUUCAGUAC
RNAcentral lists this non-coding RNA (48 nucleotides) under Trichobilharzia regenti. The record is from RNAcentral. Lineage: Eukaryota; Metazoa; Platyhelminthes; Trematoda; Strigeidida; Schistosomatidae.